UACAGAGGGGGCAAGCGUUGUUCGGAAUUACUGGGCGUAAAGGGCGCGUAGGCGGCCUGUUAAGUCGAACGUGAAAUCCCCGGGCUCAACCCGGGAACUGCGUCCGAUACUGGCAGGCUUGAAUUCGGGAGAGGGAUGUGGAAUACCCAGUGUAGAGGUGAAAUUCGUAGAUAUUGGGUGGAACACCGGUGGCGAAAGCGGCUCACUGGCUCGGUUCUGACGCUGAGGCGCGAAAGCGUGGGGAGCAAACAGG
RNAcentral lists this ribosomal RNA (253 nucleotides) under uncultured bacterium. RNAcentral's name for it is "partial 16S ribosomal RNA". It matches the Rfam family "Bacterial small subunit ribosomal RNA", at positions 524 to 776 of the family's 1533-position model. The record is from RNAcentral.